UCAAGGUGAUGCAAGGAGUCACAAUUUUCAAGACUUUCAAACUUAGACACAAGACCUGAUUAAAGGCUGACAUGUUGUAAAUAAAACAACUAUCACAUCCAACAAAACAGUAGAAAGUAAUAAGACCACAGAAGUUAAAUUAAAAACCUUGAUUAAGUAAAAAAAAAUAGCUUGAGAUACAAAUGUAUUUCCUUUAUAUAAACUGUAAUGAUGUAGAACUAUGUAAUGUAUUUAUUGAUGAAUUAAUGUUGAACACAACUAGUGUGUUUUUCAGCAAGUCAGUAAACUUCAAACAACUCUUGAGUGUGGGGGAGGGGCGCGCUUCAAUCAAGCCACAUGCAAGGAUGCGUUCAUGGCAGAAGGAAUUUUUUGCUUUCUUCAUUGAGACUUAUUUAUGCUUAAAAGCAGUAUGGUUUGAGUUUCAAAUGUUGGACUAAUUAUUUAAUGAACCAUUGUUAAACAUAAUCCUACUAGUUUACUGAAGAGUGUGGAUUGUAAUCAGUAGCUUAGUCCAUGAAGUGUCACAACAUUGACAUCCGAGUGGACGUGAAUGCAUCACCAGAAAGUGCGAGCCCGCAGAUGCACAUCAACACCACUGAAGCGGUGUGAAGAACAACUAACGCAAACAAAACAAGAAAACCACAAACAAAUCUUACAACUAAUCAAGAUGGACGGUGUUAUAGAUGGCUCUUUAUCUGAAUCCAGCAAUGAUCCAGAAAGUGACUACAUGCCGUCAAUGUCUGAUAGUUCAUCCUCAACAGUGGCACCUGGUCAAGAGUCACAAGUCAGUGGAAGUCAGGCUCAAAACUCAGAUGCCUGUUCAAGAUUCUGAUGAAGAACCGGACAUUCUGACUCAAAAGACCUCAACUCCAAGACCAUCAGAUCAGGCCUGCUGAAAAAGACUGAGAAAACAGGGAGCGAUUGACAGUACCCCCAAAAGAAGUUCCAUGGUAGGCCUUGGUGUUGUGAAAAAAAGACGACAGUACGGCGACAGCACAUCACUCUGAAUAGAGUUCCUGGUAAAGAACUUAGUCUCAAGGCUCUUGAUGCAGAACUGAUACUCGCCACUGGAGAGAUGUUAAGAACCAAAUCUACAAUUCCAUCA
Molecule: non-coding RNA, 1105 nt
Organism: Nerophis lumbriciformis (worm pipefish)
Lineage: Eukaryota; Metazoa; Chordata; Actinopteri; Syngnathiformes; Syngnathidae
Source: RefSeq, a predicted model, not a curated record